CUCAUUUGGGUUCAUAUAACAAGGACAAGUGUCCCACUAAGUAAAAUAAAAUAAAAAGAAAAGAAAAGAAAAGAAGAAGGAAGGAAAUCAGAAAGAAGGGGAUGUAAGUGUGCUGGAAGCAACCAAAGGAAAGAAGGAGAAACCGAGAGAGAGAGAGAUAAGAGAGAGAACUCAAACCAUUGUGCCGGAAAAAGCUUUGGAGAAGUGGGUUCAAGAGAUCUAAGUGAAGAUAAGAAAGGGAACUCAAGGAAUUAAAAAGAAAUUCAGCCAUUGAAAACUUAAGGCGAGGAGUGUACGCCAGGUCCAGGUCCAUCUCUCCGAGGCCGAGAUCCGUCAGUUUUGCACUGUUUCGAGAGAAAUCUUCCUCCAACAACCCAAUCUCUUCGAGCUCGAAGCCCCCAUCAAGAUCUGCGGCUUUGAUGAUCUCUUUGCCACUGUGACAUUUCUACUCCAAAAUUCUCCAGGAUCUGUUUUCAUAACAACCCAUCACAAUAUAAGCGGGCAUCAUCUAAUUGAGUUCUUGAUGGCGAAGUGGGGGUUGAAGUGCAUGAAACUUCUUGACGGCUUUUCAUUUAUGCCAUCAUACAAGGCAUUUGGGCUAAGUGGCAAUAUUCAAUUGGCAGAAAUUGUUUUGAAUAAUGAAGAGGUCAUGUGCCAAAAAUUAGCAGUAAAAUGCUGAAUGGUGACGCAGCCUCUCUGAUUUUUAACAUUGCUCCAUAGCCAUAUGACAAUUAGUUCAAUUCACCUCAGCGGCUUUUUAUUUGUGGAUUGCUGCUCCUUUCAUUUAUUGAGGUUUCCUGUUUCUUAGAAGCCAAUUUCUGCAUGUGAAAUUUUAGAUCUUGCAACUUUUUUAUACCAAAUUAUUUCACGACAGACAUACUGUUUGUAUAUUUUAUGCCUUGACAAGACUUUUUAGUUACAACAGGUUAGUUUGGGAUA
This is a non-coding RNA of Camellia sinensis, 939 nucleotides long. The record is from RefSeq and is a predicted model, not a curated record. NCBI's taxonomy places the organism in Eukaryota, Viridiplantae, Streptophyta, Magnoliopsida, Ericales, Theaceae.